This 429-nucleotide ribosomal RNA is filed under the name uncultured bacterium. RNAcentral's name for it is "bacterial SSU rRNA". It matches the Rfam family "Bacterial small subunit ribosomal RNA", at positions 355 to 776 of the family's 1533-position model. The record is from RNAcentral.
UGGGGAAUUUUGGACAAUGGGCGCAAGCCUGAUCCAGCCAUUCCGCGUGGGUGAAGAAGGCCUUCGGGUUGUAAAGCUCUUUCGCAAGGGAAGAAAACUUAGAUACUAAUAUUAUCCGAGGUUGACGGUACCUUGAUAAGAAGCACCGGCUAACUACGUGCCAGCAGCCGCGGUAAUACGUAGGGUGCGAGCGUUAAUCGGAAUUACUGGGCGUAAAGCGUGCGCAGGCGGUUUUGUAAGUCAGAUGUGAAAUCCCCGAGCUCAGCUUGGGAACUGCGUUUGAAACUACAAGACUAGAAUAUGUCAGAGGGGGGUAGAAUUCCACGUGUAGCAGUGAAAUGCGUAGAGAUGUGGAGGAAUACCAAUGGCGAAGGCAGCCCCCUGGGAUAAUAUUGACGCUCAUGCACGAAAGCGUGGGGAGCAAACAGG